Long non-coding RNA from Larimichthys crocea (large yellow croaker), 309 nucleotides. RefSeq lists it as uncharacterized. NCBI's taxonomy places the organism in Eukaryota, Metazoa, Chordata, Actinopteri, Sciaenidae. The transcript is spliced from 2 exons. The record is from RefSeq and is a predicted model, not a curated record.
AUAUUGUAUUAAACAAUGAAGCCUGGGGCUGGGCAGCAGCAGGAGACUCCCCUGACCUCAACUGCAGAGAUUGACACAUUACCAGUAAAAGAAAUUUAUAAAAUUCACCUCCUAAAAAAAAUCCAGAAGACCGAUAAAGAAAUGCUAUACCUCGACCGCCAGAUUAAAAAGCAGAUUUGGAAAUCCAAAUACUGGAACAUAAAUUAAAGGUGGGUGCAUGGUCACAUGUCAAUUAUGUCAAUGUUAACUAUUGGAACAUUAACUUAACUAGCUUUUGUAUUUGUAGGAAAUAAAGAAGACCAACUGAAA